This 246-nucleotide unclassified non-coding RNA is filed under the name uncultured Agaricomycetes. Its description in RNAcentral is "sequence contains ITS1". Lineage: Eukaryota; Fungi; Basidiomycota; Agaricomycetes. The record is from RNAcentral.
UUGAAAACAAAUUUUGGUCAGAUGGCGUUUCUCUGGCUUUUCGGAGCGAGUGAAAGGCACACCUGACCAAUUUUUAAAACCAACCUGUGCAUUUUUUGUAAACCUGAUUAGUUUUUCGAGAUUUGAUUCUUGGACUGAGAAUUGCUUCGUAGCUUUUCUUGCAUCUUUUCAGGUUUAUGUUUCUUUUUAAACAUAUUAUGCUUGUUUAUUAGAAUGUUCUGUGUUAGACCUCAUGUGUCUUAAAUA